GAUCAGUCAAUCUGAGUCAGUCGUCUUAAAAUACAGAAACGCGAACCAAGUACAUAGGAAAGUAAGAGGAUCUAACUAUUAUUUUAAAUACUAAGCGGAUAUGCUGUAUGGGCAGGAAAUAGUACCGGAUGUAAGAUAGUCACUUUGAGGACUUCUGGCAUCAAAGGAUGAUUCAAAAACCUGCCCAUAUUCAUCCUCGGCUAUUUCCUCCACGUCUUCCCAUUCUUCGUCGUCAAUAGGAAUCUCGCCACUCCCAACCUAUCGAAUACCUUAGUGAAAUAAUGCACGCCAGCAAAUUCCAAAAGGGUCGCUAUGCAGUAUCCGAAGCUCAUUAAAAGAAACCAAUCUAAAGCUGUUGCAUAUCUGACCUUAGAAUGAUAUUGCUGCUACUUGCCAAGACCAACUCUGUCGCUAGUGGCUUCACGAUGAAUCCAAAAGGACACCCAGCUGAGUACAACUAUCAGAACACACGGCACGUAUACCUGAA
Cephus cinctus (wheat stem sawfly) is the source of this 487-nucleotide long non-coding RNA. RefSeq lists it as uncharacterized. NCBI's taxonomy places the organism in Eukaryota, Metazoa, Arthropoda, Insecta, Hymenoptera, Cephidae. The record is from RefSeq and is a predicted model, not a curated record. The transcript has 4 exons.